UAAAACUGCAAAAAAUGAAAAACAGGGAACACCGCUUUUGAUCACAAAAACAUCCAUUUAUUACUGAUGCAAAAUGUUGCACAAUGAAACACAUGAGAUGGCCCUUACAAUGGACCAGUACGUUUCGGGCAAAACGUAUGGCUUUCAUGCAAACAACAAUUGAAACACAGAAAUACUACACUUCCGGAUGAGCGACAAUGAUGCUUUUGGAGGCCUUCCAAUCGCCUGGUACGCACGACUUUAUCCACAACUCGAGCUCGCGGUCGCGGUCGAUCUCUUCACUUACUGAACAAGCAUGACCAGGAUCCAGCAUUCCUGCACUGACAAAGGUGUACGAUGGACGACGUCCUCUGUUUGGUCUAGACGACUCUUGAUCUGGCCGAUAACCGAUCCCAAACAUGUCUGCCUUUACCGGUGUUGAGUGGAUCCAUCAGUUUGGAUUUGU
RNAcentral lists this long non-coding RNA (445 nucleotides) under Lathyrus oleraceus (garden pea). RNAcentral describes it as "Pisum sativum (pea) long non-coding RNA (PSAT_LNC041546)". Lineage: Eukaryota; Viridiplantae; Streptophyta; Magnoliopsida; Fabales; Fabaceae. The record is from RNAcentral.